This 62-nucleotide transfer RNA is filed under the name Fukomys damarensis (Damara mole-rat). It matches the Rfam family "tRNA". From Rfam's summary of the family: Transfer RNA (tRNA) molecules are approximately 80 nucleotides in length. Their secondary structure includes four short double-helical elements and three loops (D, anti-codon, and T loops). Further hydrogen bonds mediate the characteristic L-shaped molecular structure. tRNAs have two regions of fundamental functional importance: the anti-codon, which is responsible for specific mRNA codon recognition, and the 3' end, to which the tRNAs corresponding amino acid is attached (by aminoacyl-tRNA synthetases). tRNAs cope with the degeneracy of the genetic code in two manners: having more than one tRNA (with a specific anti-codon) for a particular amino acid; and 'wobble' base-pairing, i.e. permitting non-standard base-pairing at the 3rd anti-codon position. Lineage: Eukaryota; Metazoa; Chordata; Mammalia; Rodentia; Bathyergidae. The record is from Rfam by way of RNAcentral.
GGGGAUGUAGCUCAGUGGUAGAGUGUUUGCCUAGAAUGCAAUAGGUCCAGCGUUCAAUCCCA